UACGUAGGGAGCAAGCGUUAUUCGGAAUUAUUGGGCGUAAAGGGCGUGUAGGCGGCUUUGUGUGUCUCAUGUGAAAGCCCUCGGCUCAACCGGGGAACUGCAUGGGAAACUGCUGAGCUUGAGUCCGGGAGAGGAAAGUGGAAUUCCCAGUGUAGCGGUGAAAUGCGUAGAUAUUGGGAGGAACACCAGUGGCGAAGGCGGCUUUCUGGACCGGUACUGACGCUGAGACGCGAAAGCCAGGGGAGCAAACGGG
Molecule: ribosomal RNA, 253 nt
Filed under: uncultured bacterium
Lineage: Bacteria
Description: partial 16S ribosomal RNA
Rfam family: Bacterial small subunit ribosomal RNA
Source: RNAcentral